Magallana angulata is the source of this 1944-nucleotide long non-coding RNA. RefSeq lists it as uncharacterized. NCBI's taxonomy places the organism in Eukaryota, Metazoa, Mollusca, Bivalvia, Ostreida, Ostreidae. The transcript has 3 exons. The record is from RefSeq and is a predicted model, not a curated record.
AAAGGGUUCUUCUUGAUCGAAAGAACAUGUCGCCAUUUGACUUUGUAAAAUAGCAGGAAAAGUUAAUAAGUUCCGGAAACAUGAGAUUCUCCUGUGCGCUUUAUUUAACCAUUGUUGUGGUUUCUUUGGAAGUGUUUGGCUCUGCAUUUGCAAGGCAUUUAAAUUCAGUACAUCGCACUAAAAGACGCUUGCAUUCGGAUUUUGUUCAAAAACACAUUGUUUUUGUCAGAGGUGAAAGAAAACCGUCAUAUAAUUUACUCAAAGGAAGACUGCCCAAAUUUACCAAUACUGAUAACAGACGUUUACAUACCUUCAUCGUGGUAACAAUAAAAAAUUCUGAGAAUGAGAAAAGAAAAGAAAAGUCGGUUUUAGAAAAUCUUGAUAUUUUAAUUAAGAAUAAGAUCAUGAAUGGAGGAUGCAAAGCCAGCCGUAGAGAAAAUGACCCGGCAGCUAAGCAAACUACUUUAAGAGUUAGACCAAACACCUAUAAAAAUUCGGAACAAACAACAAUCUCCAUUGAUGAUUAUUAUAAUUGUCCCAUACAAGUUGAAGAUCUCGGCAAAAACAUCUAUAUAGCCAAUUUCAACGUCCAAGACAAAAAUGAGCCCUGUAUGUAUUCGGAUAAGGGCCAGUUUACAGUGGGAGCUGGAAAAAUGACAGAGGUGGACACCAAAACAAAACAAAAGACAACAGAUUGGUUUCUGGCGAAUCACUUGGCUGAAUCACAGAUACAAAACGGUUCCGAGUGUGAUAACGACUGAGACUGGUUCUGAUGUUGCAGUUUUUAGUUUAGACACGUUUCGGUAGAUCAUCAUCUUUUCUCCAAGGAAACGUUAUUCAAUUAACUUACUCAUCUUGCAAGCACUUGUACCAACACUAGGCUAUCUGCCCAAAUUUCUCUCCCAUCAAAAGAGGAUCAGUUCUCAUAUUAUGAUUAUGCAUAUUCAAAUGCAUAUAAUUAUUGUCUUAUGUAACUUUCCAAGUCAUUACAUUGCAGAACAAACAGGACAAACAUUUUUUCUAAAAAUACGAAAUACAUGUAAGGUCAACAUUUAUAAAAACAUUGUUAAUUAUCUUUAUUUUUUUUAAAUUGAGUUGUUGAAGAGAUCAGUGCGAAUUUUAAAAAAAUGAUUCUGCAUAUUUAGUUUUAACCUUGAAUAUCACAUUUUGCAUGUCAUCGGUUUGUAUGUCUUUAAAUUUUGACAUUUUAGUCUUCUCAAGAACCAUUUCAUGUGGUACAAAGCAUUCUUAUUGCAAGAAGAUUCAAGUUUAUUCAGAGAGAUAAUUUGGAAUUAAUAAAAAUUAUUUUUCUGCAAAACCAUUAGGCAAGAAUAGUGAAACUUAUGUUGAAGCAUCAUCAGUUAGAGUAGAUUUAUUUUUAUUUUAAUCAUGAUAUCCUGGGGUAAGAUGAGGCCCGAAUUUUUAUUUUAAUCAUGAUAUCCCGGGGUGAGAUGAGGCCCGAAGGGGGGGGGGUAUAAUAUUUACACAGAUAUUUUUCAAAAUGUAGAUUCAAUUUCAAUUUUAAAACAUGUGUGGCAUUUUAAAUAAAAAAUAAUACAAACAUGGUCUGCUAAAUUUUUCAGAUAUGUUUGUUUUUAACCUGUUAAAGCUGCUUGGAUUAUCUGUCAGUUGAAUAAUGUUGCUGUGGCCCCUUGGCCUCUUGUUUGCUUGUUUUGCAUUUUAAAAGCAAUUAUUCCUGGUCACUUUGGAGUUAAGGUUUUUUGUUUUAAUUAAUACUCAAAUGUGAACACAUUCUCUAAAAUGUAUUACUUCAAAGAGAGGUGAACGACAUGCAUGUGUAAUUUACAAUGGUAAUUCUGUUUUACUGUUAAAGGUAAAGAAUAUUUACAUUUAAAUAUAACAUUCAAUGACUUUCUUGGUUAUUUAAGAUUAAUGAUCUUUUGUCUUCUGCCUGUAGCUGAAAAUAAAAAUUGCAAAAACGAG